This 450-nucleotide ribosomal RNA is filed under the name uncultured organism. Its description in RNAcentral is "partial 16S ribosomal RNA". It matches the Rfam family "Bacterial small subunit ribosomal RNA", at positions 331 to 797 of the family's 1533-position model. The record is from RNAcentral.
GUACACUCCUGCGGGAGGCAGCAGUGGGGAAUAUUGGACAAUGGGCGAAAGCCUGAUCCAGCAAUGCCGCGUGAGUGAUGAAGGCCUUAGGGUUGUAAAGCUCUUUUACCCGGGAUGAUAAUGACAGUACCGGGAGAAUAAGCCCCGGCUAACUCCGUGCCAGCAGCCGCGGUAAUACGGAGGGGGCUAGCGUUGUUCGGAAUUACUGGGCGUAAAGCGCGCGUAGGCGGCUUUGUAAGUUAGAGGUGAAAGCCCGGAGCUCAACUUCGGAGUUGCCUUUAAGACUGCAUCGCUAGAAUCGUGGAGAGGUGAGUGGAAUUCCGAGUGUAGAGGUGAAAUUCGUAGAUAUUCGGAAGAACACCAGUGGCGAAGGCGACUCACUGGACACGUAUUGACGCUGAGGUGCGAAAGCGUGGGGAGCAAACAGGAUUAGAAACCCGUGUAGUCCCA